GCUGGGCACGGUGGUGCAUGCCUGUAAUCCCAGUGGCUUGGGAGGUUGAGGCAGGAAGAUUGCAAGUGCAAAGCCAGCCUCAGUAACUUAGUGAGGCCCUGUCUCAA
This 107-nucleotide small RNA is filed under the name Marmota monax (woodchuck). Lineage: Eukaryota; Metazoa; Chordata; Mammalia; Rodentia; Sciuridae. The record is from RNAcentral.